GAGGAAUAUUGGUCAAUGGGUGCAAGCCUGAACCAGCCAUCCCGCGUGAAGGACGACUGCCCUAUGGGUUGUAAACUUCUUUUGUAUAGGGAUAAACCUACCCUCGUGAGGGUAGCUGAAGGUACUAUACGAAUAAGCACCGGCUAACUCCGUGCCAGCAGCCGCGGUAAUACGGAGGGUGCAAGCGUUAUCCGGAUUUAUUGGGUUUAAAGGGUCCGUAGGCGGACUUAUAAGUCAGUGGUGAAAGCCUGUCGCUUAACGAUAGAACUGCCAUUGAUACUGUAAGUCUUGAGUAUAUUUGAGGUAGCUGGAAUAAGUAGUGUAGCGGUGAAAUGCAUAGAUAUUAGGAGGAACACCAGUGGCGAAGGCGGCCAACUGGGCUUUUACUGACGCUGAGGCUCGAAAGCGUGGGGAGCAAACA
RNAcentral lists this ribosomal RNA (421 nucleotides) under uncultured Cloacibacterium sp. RNAcentral's name for it is "bacterial SSU rRNA". It matches the Rfam family "Bacterial small subunit ribosomal RNA", at positions 356 to 774 of the family's 1533-position model. Lineage: Bacteria; Pseudomonadati; Bacteroidota; Flavobacteriia; Flavobacteriales; Weeksellaceae. The record is from RNAcentral.